This is a long non-coding RNA of Saccostrea cuccullata (small rock oyster), 366 nucleotides long. RefSeq lists it as uncharacterized. The transcript has 3 exons. The record is from RefSeq and is a predicted model, not a curated record. Lineage: Eukaryota; Metazoa; Mollusca; Bivalvia; Ostreida; Ostreidae.
UGCAGUGUGGUGUGUAUGUAUCAGUUGAAAUAAUUCACUUUGUUUUUUAUUUGGAUUAUAUUUCAUGGAAUUGACAGGGCCUAUGACAGUCGGGUGGUAUAUAGGCAAUGGAGGAUGUGCCUGUGCUCAAUAUGUUGAUCCUGUGUGUGGUGUAGAUGGAGUGACGUACACCAAUGCUGGAUGUCUGGGAUGCGCCGGGGUCCCCUUGGCUUGUAGGGGAUCAUGUCCUUGCUACAGACCCUACUGAACAUAACGGAGACAACACUUUACAGAAAAGUCAGCAGCAGGGACCUAUAGAAUGGUGUUUAGGUCUCUUAUGUCUGUGAAAGUAAAUUUCCUUGUGUAAUAAAAAGUAACAAAAAGUAA